AGGACGUUAGCUCAGUUGGUUAGAGCAUCCGACUUUUAAUCGGAAUGUCGAUGGGUUCAACUCCCUCACGUCCUACCA
This 78-nucleotide transfer RNA is filed under the name Enterobacter ludwigii. RNAcentral describes it as "tRNA-Lys". It matches the Rfam family "tRNA". From Rfam's summary of the family: Transfer RNA (tRNA) molecules are approximately 80 nucleotides in length. Their secondary structure includes four short double-helical elements and three loops (D, anti-codon, and T loops). Further hydrogen bonds mediate the characteristic L-shaped molecular structure. tRNAs have two regions of fundamental functional importance: the anti-codon, which is responsible for specific mRNA codon recognition, and the 3' end, to which the tRNAs corresponding amino acid is attached (by aminoacyl-tRNA synthetases). tRNAs cope with the degeneracy of the genetic code in two manners: having more than one tRNA (with a specific anti-codon) for a particular amino acid; and 'wobble' base-pairing, i.e. permitting non-standard base-pairing at the 3rd anti-codon position. Lineage: Bacteria; Pseudomonadati; Pseudomonadota; Gammaproteobacteria; Enterobacterales; Enterobacteriaceae. The record is from RNAcentral. RNAcentral also lists the same sequence under 3 other names.